This 459-nucleotide ribosomal RNA is filed under the name Triticum aestivum (bread wheat). RNAcentral's name for it is "partial small subunit ribosomal RNA". Lineage: Eukaryota; Viridiplantae; Streptophyta; Magnoliopsida; Poales; Poaceae. The record is from RNAcentral.
AUGAUAGGUGUAAAAGAAGUGUUCCCACAGGCUGAACAAAGGAAAUGCAUGUUUCACUUGGUGUCCAACUUCAAGAAGAAGUUUCAUGUAAAGGUGUUUGAUGACCACCUUUGGGCUGCUGCUUACUCAUGGAACCCAUAUAUAUUUGAGAAAAAUUGGGUUGCAAUGGACAUAGCAAAGCUAGCAACAACUGCAUAUCUUAGGAGGUGGCACACUAGGUUGUGGUCUAGGAGUCAGUUCUCAACAAUUUCCAAGGUGGAUUAUGUUACAAACAACUUGGCCGAGUGCUUCAAUAAUUGGAUUAAUCACCACAAGUCCUUGAACUUGGAAGACUUCUUUGAUAAGGUUAGGCAGAUGUUUAUGAUCAUGUGGAACCGAAGGAGGAAAGUAGCAUGGAAGUUGGUUGGGUUGAUUCUUCCCCACAUACUUAAGAAUUUGAAGAAGCCUAUGACCAACUAA